CAGUCGCCGCGGGAAAACGUAGGGCGCAAGCGUUAUCCGGAAUUAUUGGGCGUAAAGAGCUCGUAGGCGGUUUGUCGCGUCUGCCGUGAAAGUCCGGGGCUCAACCCCGGAUCUGCGGUGGGUACGGGCAGACUAGAGUGAUGUAGGGGAGACUGGAAUUCCUGGUGUAGCGGUGAAAUGCGCAGAUAUCAGGAGGAACACCGAUGGCGAAGGCAGGUCUCUGGGCAUUAACUGACGCUGAGGAGCGAAAGCAUGGGGAGCGAACAGGAUUAGAUACCCCAGUAGUCCCUGUCUCUUAUAC
Molecule: ribosomal RNA, 301 nt
Filed under: uncultured bacterium
Lineage: Bacteria
Description: partial 16S ribosomal RNA
Rfam family: Bacterial small subunit ribosomal RNA
Source: RNAcentral